Molecule: long non-coding RNA, 3819 nt
Organism: Orcinus orca (killer whale)
Lineage: Eukaryota; Metazoa; Chordata; Mammalia; Artiodactyla; Delphinidae
Exons: 2
Source: RefSeq, a predicted model, not a curated record
UGGUCCCUGGGGGCAGGUGGGAGAUGAUGAGGGGUAUCCUCCAGCCCAAGGCCCUCCUCCUAGUGGCCCAAGAUCCCUGUGGUCACUCUUCCUAUACUUACUAAUGAGCGAGCAUGAUGGGGCAUGACCCAGAGCAUGGGGAGACGUGGUCAGCCCCUGCUCUCUGGCUUGGGGGGCUUUGUGCAGGAAGGGCGCGCAGUACUGGGGUACAAGCCAGACUCCCCCAGAUCCCACCCUCACUGCCCCAUGCCCAGUGCACCUUGUCCUCUGUUCCCCAGGGCCUCUGCUCAUGGUGUCCUUUCUGCCAAGAAGACCUUCUCCGACCUUCUUGUGCUCUGGGCAAACUCAACUUUCACCAAAGGCCCUCCUCAAGCCUUGGUGCCUGGAGAAGCUCAGGCACCCUGUGGGCUUGGCCCUCUCCAGGGACAAGAUCCUUCUUUCUCUGUCACCCAACUGCCUGGUAGAACCCGAGUCCUGGCCCACUGCAGGCACUGAGGAUUUGUGACCAGGGCUGGAGCCUUCAGGAAGAAUGCUCCCAUGGGUGACCGAAGCCGGAGGAGCGCUCACCGAUAGACCAGCGCCAGGAUGUUCAGCAUGGUGGCCACGUCAGGGUGGUCAUGGCCUGACGUCUUCUCCAGGUCCUCGAGGGCCUGCUUGCAGAGUGGCACGGCCACCUCAUAGCGGCCCUGAGAGGCGUACUGGAUCACCAGAUUGUGCAGGGUGCGGAGCCGUGCUGGGAUUUCAUAGCCCCCGUGCUGGGCAGCCACGUCUCCUCCUCCAGGGCUGGGGGCUGCAAAGCCAAGGGCGGGAGGUCAGAUGUGCCAAGUGCCUCCUGAGCUGGGCCGGCACAUGCCAGCCAUACCUUUGACCGACCUCACACGUGGCCCUGGGCAAGUCACCGUUAGCUCUCGGUUUCCCCGUCUGUAGAGUGGGUCUAGUCACCCCACAAGAAGAGUGGGUAGAGUCCCAGCUCCGGUGCUUCAAGCUGUGUGUCCCAGGGCAAGUCGCCUAACCCCCGAGCCUCAGCCUCGUCACGUGCAGAAGAGAGGCUCUGAUACAAAGGCCACACGAUCAGCAAGGCCAGUACUGGCCCGCGGAUCAGCACUGUGCAUGCGUCCUCCUUUAACCCUCAGAGGAGGCUCAGAGGGGAAAGAAACUCUACCAGUGGCCACCGUGCAAACGCAGGCAGAGCAGGGCUCGCACCCAGGCCGGAUGGCUCCAAAGCUCUGAACUGUGAUGCCUGCUCCUUACAGAACUUGGGAGAUGAGAAAAGCAACAUGUAAAACCUGCCUUUUAAGCUCUAAUGCUGGGAUGUUAUAAUCAGAAACGAGGCAGGAGAGAACACAGCAGCCACUCAGACCUUGUUUUCUGUGACCUCUGGGUCCCAAGGACCAGGAGUUCACACAGCCUUCCUUUCCCGCCCCCAGAGCCAGCUGCCCCUCCGCACCUGGGCUCUGCUCCUCCUCACUGGGGAACAGGUCAUCCAGAGAGUCUUUGGGGACGUCCCCCUUCUCCUCCUGGGGAGGAAGACGGGAUGGGCGUCAGGGAAGCAGGCGGCCCAGGGGUCGGCGGGCUGGGUCGGAGCAGCGUCUGCUCCCUGCCGCCCCUCCCUGCUCCCAGGUGCCCCCGCCCCGCCCAGUGGCCAUGGUAGGGCUUACGCUGGCGGACGUGUCCUCGUCCAGCUUGCGGAUCUGGCUCAUGAACAGCAAGUGCUGCUUUUCCUCCUCGAGCUGGGCCACGGCCUGCUCGCUGCGCUGCAGCUUCUGCUGCGUCCCUGCCAGCUCCUCCCGCAGCCACUGGUUCUCCUGCACCAGGCGCCGUACCUGAGCCCGCAGCUUCUGCUUCUCCGACUCUACGGCCCCCAGGUGGCUCGACAGCGCCAAGAUCACCUGCGCAGCCAGCCGGAACAGAGGUCAGAGCCCUGCUGACCCCCAGCCUGGGCCCCAGAGAAGAGCCAGGCCCGGAGGAGCUGCAGGGCUGAGGGCCCUGAAGUUCUCCUCUCGUCAAGGGAGUUUUGCCCCAGGGCCCCAAACAGACCAACAUAGCCUGAGACCUGAAACCAGGAGGCUUGGGGAUUCCUAAGUCCUUCCUUCUGCGGUCAGGACCCAGGCUGGCUGUGCUGGACUCUGAACUAGCCCAUCCCCUUUCCUGGGCCUCCAGCUAGUCCUCCACAUCGAUGGUCCAGUUCCCACCUUGUGGGGUGCUCGGAUCAUUAAGAGCGCUAGCUGGGGUGCUGCCCUUUCCCCGAGCUGUCCACUCGUUCCCCGUCUCUCCUAGGAGUUGUACUCAAGCCCUGUAGCCAGAGCCACUAUACCGCUGCCCCUGGCCCAGGGCUAGCGCUUUCCCAAAGACCUUGAUAGACGACUGAAGGGCUACCGAAAGACCCCACCCUGACUUCUACCAGAGAGCCAGGGCAGCCCCUGUCCUCCUGCAGCUCCCAGGGAGGGAAGGGGGGUGUGUGUCCUAAACCUCCAGUGUCUGGAAAACCACAGGGGCAGGUAAGGGGAUCCAGAGGCCUCAGCCUCAGCCCCCAUCCCUCUCUCCAAACUCCAUGACUCCUUUCCUGAGCUUCCAGGCUCUUCCCGCCUUGGGGCCUUGCCUAGACUCUACCCUUUCUCCGUCCUUCAUGGUCAGGGUCAUUUCUGCAGUGAAGCCUCUUAUGCCCUCAGCCCCCGGAAAGCAUGGCACCUCCCCCACCUCCAUGCCAUCCUGUUGUCCAUCUGUGCCUGUAUACACUGGGAGGGGGCCCUGGUGUGUUCACCUCCGCACCUGGCAGUCAGCCGGCUGAGGAGUGAAUGCCCGACACAUUGCCCUCCCAGAGAGCCAGGCAGUCUGGGACUUUGUACUUUCUAGUUGAUUAGCAAACGCCUAAGUGACAGGUGUUUUCACAACCACUAGCUAUUUUUAAAAAUAUCCUAAACAGCCUGUCAGUAUUUACGGCAGAUGGCACGACCCCUAUUCUAAAAACAAGGAAACCAAGGGGAUACCACCUGCCCAGGACUCACAGAGCCAGGCAGUGUCUCACCAAGAUCUGAGUGGACCAAGACUCGCUGCCCGAGAGUCUAACGCCUUGCACACCCCAGCACCUCCUGGAUAGCUCUGUCUGCAUGUCAUCCUGGCAGCCUCAACUUAAGAGGGCCCAAACAGAACUCCUGACCCAUCCAGGCUCUCUCCUCAAUUUCCUCAAACCACAAACCUGGGACUUUCCCUGCCCCUCUCUGUCUCCUUUAGUCCAUCCCCAGGCCCUACUGGACCUACUUCCAGAACGUCUAGGACUGACCCCCUUCUUACUACCCUCAUGGCCCAACCCACCAUUUCUCAUUGGAAUUCUAGCAGCGGCUUCCUAACACCUGCUACUUCCUUCCACCCUGACCCACAAUCAUUCAUUCUCCACCCCUCAGCCAGAGAGAGUUUUAAAACCUAAGCCAGACUGUGUCCCUUUACUGCUUAAACCCUCCAAAGGCUUCUGAUUUCCUGAGAAUAAAACCCAAACUAAUAAGGCACAGCAUGAUCUGGUCCCCGCCUUCUCCACAGGCCUUUUCUGUCCCUCUCUUUCCUCACGAAGCUCCAGUUAGACAGGUCUCUCAGUUCUCCCUCCACAACAAGAUCUUUUCCACUUCAGGACCUUUAUACAUGCAACCUCUCACUUUCCUCCCUUCUCUGGAGGCUGGUUCAUUCCUUUCCUCAGGUCUUGAUUUAAAUGUCAUUUCCUCAGAAGUCUUGCUUGACCAAUAGCUAAGGUUGUCACAAGAUCUUGUUUUUUUCUUUGGAGAACUUACCAUAAUAUUGAAUAAAUAUAUGUGUAUUUCUGACUCUCUU